CCUACGGGUGGCAGCAGUGAGGAAUAUUGGUCAAUGGGCGGGAGCCUGAACCAGCCAAGCCGCGUGAGGGAAGAAGGUAUAGCGUAUCGUAAACCUCUUUUGUCAGGGAACAAAGGCGGGGACUAGUCCCCGGAUGAGGGUACCUGAAGAAAAAGCAUCGGCUAACUCCGUGCCAGCAGCCGCGGUAAUACGGAGGAUGCGAGCGUUAUCCGGAUUUAUUGGGUUUAAAGGGUGCGCAGGCGGUCUGUUAAGUCAGCGGUCAAAGCCCGGGGCUCAACCCCGGCCCGCCGUUGAAACUGGCAGUCUCGAGUUGGAGAGAAGUAUGCGGAAUGCGCGGUGUAGCGGUGAAAUGCAUAGAUAUCGCGCAGAACUCCGAUUGCGAAGGCAGCAUGCCGGCUCCACACUGACGCUGAGGCACGAAAGCGUGGGUAUCGAACAGGAUUAGAUACCCUUGUAGUC
This 459-nucleotide ribosomal RNA is filed under the name uncultured bacterium. RNAcentral's name for it is "partial 16S ribosomal RNA". It matches the Rfam family "Bacterial small subunit ribosomal RNA", at positions 338 to 795 of the family's 1533-position model. The record is from RNAcentral.